This 638-nucleotide ribosomal RNA is filed under the name uncultured Bacteroidota bacterium. Its description in RNAcentral is "bacterial SSU rRNA". It matches the Rfam family "Bacterial small subunit ribosomal RNA", at positions 8 to 641 of the family's 1533-position model. The record is from RNAcentral. Lineage: Bacteria; Pseudomonadati; Bacteroidota.
AGAGUUUGAUCCUGGCUCAGGAUGAACGCUAGCGGCAGGCCUAAUACAUGCAAGUCGAGGGGUAACAUGACGCUUCGGUGUUGAUGACGACCGGCGAACGGGUGCGUAACGCGUAUGCAAUCUACCCACAGCAGAGGGAUAGCCCGUGGAAACAUGGAUUAAUACCUCAUAACACAGGGGGCCCACAUGGGCAUAUUGUUAAAGCUUCGGCGGCUGUGGAUGAGCAUGCGUCCCAUUAGUUAGUUGGUAAGGUAACGGCUUACCAAGACGAUGAUGGGUAGGGGUUCUGAGAGGAUGAUCCCCCACACUGGUACUGAGAUACGGACCAGACUCCUACGGGAGGCAGCAGUAGGGAAUAUUGGUCAAUGGACGGAAGUCUGAACCAGCCAUGCCGCGUGCAGGAAGACGGCCUUCUGGGUUGUAAACUGCUUUUAUCAGGGAAGAAUAAGCUUCUUGCGAGAAGUGAUGCCGGUACCUGAAGAAUAAGCACCGGCUAACUCCGUGCCAGCAGCCGCGGUAAUACGGAGGGUGCGAGCGUUGUCCGGAUUUAUUGGGUUUAAAGGGUGCGUAGGCGGCCUGUUAAGUCAGUGGUGAAAGGUAUCAGCUUAACUGAUGAAGUGCCAUUGAAACUGGCAGGC